UCUUCAUGGCAGUGAUCAAUAACGGGAAGGAAGAGAAUUGCGGGGGCGAGUGGGAUCAGCUCGAUGGUUCUUAGUCGUUUCUAUACAUGCAAGGAAAAUGCUGUUCUUCGACAGGAUCCAUGGUGGUUUGCCAUUAAAGCCGGUGGAGAAGAAAAAUGAUAGAGAUAAAGGGUCGACUGACCUAGAAAUGUCUCUGCAAGAGAGAGAAGCAAGCUUUUGCGCACAUCUCUGGCUCGAGAUCUCUGAUUUGCACUCCCUUCAUUUAUUUAUUUUUUUCAUUCUUAUUUAUCGGUGAAAUUAGAUUUUUUUUAUUUUUUUUCAUACUUUUGAUGUCAAAAUUUGGAUCACCGUUAGUUAGAGUGUUGAAUAAAAUUAAAAGAACCUUGUACCUGUGACAUAUGUAUGUAGCCAUGUGGAGGUGUUUUCCUCUUCAUUAAUGCUCGACCCCAAAAAAAAACAGAAAUUAUGUUGUAUAUCAGUUUAAUUUAAUUGUUUUAAUUUUUAUUUUUAUA
Molecule: long non-coding RNA, 512 nt
Organism: Cannabis sativa
Lineage: Eukaryota; Viridiplantae; Streptophyta; Magnoliopsida; Rosales; Cannabaceae
Exons: 2
Source: RefSeq, a predicted model, not a curated record